This 952-nucleotide long non-coding RNA is filed under the name Marmota monax (woodchuck). The record is from RNAcentral. Lineage: Eukaryota; Metazoa; Chordata; Mammalia; Rodentia; Sciuridae.
GUGAAUGGUGUAGGUGCUAGGGGCACAGAGAUGAACCCACCCCAGCCCAAUCCAGACCUUGGUGCAGGGAACUUACAUCCUAUGCACAGGUGAGACCCAGGACAGGAAGUGGGGGUGUCCAUGCGUACAUUGAUAAAAGCAUCAGCUGUGCACUGUCAGAGAGGGUAAGUGCUACAAAGACAGCACAGCAAUGAAAGGAGACAGCGUGGUCAGCAGAGGCCUCUGGCCUGGUUCCCGCACUCUUCAAGACACUAAUAAGGCGUGUUCCAUAGAGAGGCCGGAGGACCCUGUGAGCAGAAGGGCCACUGAAGGACUAAUGGAUACAGGAAGUGACCCCUGGUGAGUCAAGACUGGGAGAAGAGAUCCCCGGAGCACCUGUGAGCAGGCAGGUCUGGAUGGAACCUCCACCUGCUGUGUGGCCUCGGGUCCCACCUCCUCUCUGACCCUCAAGCUCUUCAUCUGUAGAAAGGGCCUAAGAAGCAGCUCUGUUGUAUAAGGGAGGAAUGCAACAAUGUCACCUGAGAGCCUGGAACAGACUGGCACAGGAAUAAAGCCCCUUCCAGGAUCAGGCUAGAGCUUGUGUUCGUCGCCCUUUCUAUACACGGCCGCCUUCCCCUUCCCCUGACUCACCUCUGGGGCAGACUCUGUUAUGAUACCAUUUGGUGAGUCAGGAAAGUGGUUUCGUCACGGCUUUGGUGUUAUUCACCAUGAUUACCUCCUCUGGCAGCGCCAGGGGAGGGUCAGGUGACCCCAACGCUUAGCAAGGCCGUCCCCUGAGACCCAGCUGCUGAGUGGCGGGUUGCUCUGGAGGAGGAAACGGAGAGGCAUCGUGUUGGACAGAAGUGACCCGACCCACUCCAGGCCUGCACUCCGUGGAGGGGCACGGACGCUGCCCACGCUGUGCCAACGCACAUCUUGUUGGAGUUCCAAUGCACGUGUGGGCAGUUAACUG